RNAcentral lists this ribosomal RNA (594 nucleotides) under uncultured bacterium. RNAcentral's name for it is "bacterial SSU rRNA". It matches the Rfam family "Bacterial small subunit ribosomal RNA", at positions 61 to 655 of the family's 1533-position model. The record is from RNAcentral.
GUCGAACGGGAUCCACGCCAUGAAGUUUUCGGAUGGAUUGGUGUGGUGAGAGUGGCGAACGGGCGAGUAACGCGUGAGCAACCUACCUCGUACUGGGGGAUAACGUCGGGAAACCGGCGCUAAUACCGCAUAAGACUACGAUGUCGCGUGGCAAUGUAGUUAAAGCUCCGGCGGUACGAGACGGGCUCGCGUCCGAUUAGCUAGUUGGUAGGGUAACGGCCUACCAAGGCGACGAUCGGUAGCCGGACUGAGAGGUCGGCCGGCCGCAUUGGGACUGAGACACGGCCCAGACUCCUACGGGAGGCAGCAGUGGGGAAUAUUGCGCAAUGGGGGAAACCCUGACGCAGCGACGCCGCGUGAAGGAAGAAGGCCUUCGGGUUGUAAACUUCUUUGAUCGGGGACGAAGGAAGACGGUACCCGAGGAACAAGCCACGGCUAACUACGUGCCAGCAGCCGCGGUAAUACGUAGGUGGCGAGCGUUGUCCGGAAUUACUGGGCGUAAAGGGCGUGUAGGCGGGGGGACAAGUCAGAUGUGAAAUACCGCAGCUUAACUGCGGGGCUGCAUCUGAAACUGUUCUUCUUGAGUGUCGGAGA